CCAGCGGAUGUUUUCACAUCCACUAAUUCAGGUAAUAAUUAAAAG
Non-coding RNA from Mesocricetus auratus (golden hamster), 45 nucleotides. The record is from Rfam. NCBI's taxonomy places the organism in Eukaryota, Metazoa, Chordata, Mammalia, Rodentia, Cricetidae.